RNAcentral lists this ribosomal RNA (501 nucleotides) under uncultured bacterium. RNAcentral's name for it is "partial 16S ribosomal RNA". It matches the Rfam family "Bacterial small subunit ribosomal RNA", at positions 30 to 523 of the family's 1533-position model. The record is from RNAcentral.
AUUGAACGCUGGCGGCAGGCUUAACACAUGCAAGUCGAGCGGAGAUGAGGUGCUUGCACCUUAUCUUAGCGGCGGACGGGUGAGUAAUGCUUAGGAAUCUGCCUAUUAGUGGGGGACAACAUUCCGAAAGGAAUGCUAAUACCGCAUACGUCCUACGGGAGAAAGCAGGGGAUCUUCGGACCCUGCGCUAAUAGAUGAGCCUAAGUCGGAUUAGCUAGUUGGUGGGGUAAAGGCCUACCAAGGCGACGAUCUGUAGCGGGUCUGAGAGGAUGAUCCGCCACAGUGGGACUGAGACACGGCCCAGACUCCUACGGGAGGCAGCAGUGGGGAAUAUUGGACAAUGGGGGGAACCCUGAUCCAGCCAUGCCGCGUGUGUGAAGAAGGCCUUAUGGUUGUAAAGCACUUUAAGCGAGGAGGAGGCUACUGAGACUAAUACUCUUGGAUAGUGGACGUUACUCGCAGAAUAAGCACCGGCUAACUCUGUGCCAGCAGCCGCCGUAA